This 21-nucleotide non-coding RNA is filed under the name Caenorhabditis elegans. The record is from RNAcentral. Lineage: Eukaryota; Metazoa; Nematoda; Chromadorea; Rhabditida; Rhabditidae.
UUAUAAUCUCACAUGCGAUGA